Molecule: unclassified non-coding RNA, 253 nt
Filed under: uncultured Oceanospirillales bacterium
Lineage: Bacteria; Pseudomonadati; Pseudomonadota; Gammaproteobacteria; Oceanospirillales
Description: contains 16S-23S intergenic spacer region
Rfam family: Bacterial small subunit ribosomal RNA
Source: RNAcentral
UACGGAGGGUGCAAGCGUUAAUCGGAAUUACUGGGCGUAAGGCGCGCGUAGGCGGUUUGGUUAGUGUGAUGUGAAAGCCCAGGGCUUAACCUUGGAAUUGCAUCACAUACUGCCAGGCUAGAGUACGAGAGAGGGGGGUAGAAUUCCUAGUGUAGCGGUGAAAUGCGUAGAUAUUAGGAGGAAUACCAGUGGUGAAGGCGGCCCCCUGGCUCGAUACUGACGCUGAGGUGCGAAAGCGUGGGGAGCAAACAGG